This 397-nucleotide ribosomal RNA is filed under the name uncultured bacterium. RNAcentral describes it as "partial 16S ribosomal RNA". It matches the Rfam family "Bacterial small subunit ribosomal RNA", at positions 360 to 774 of the family's 1533-position model. The record is from RNAcentral.
AAUAUUGGACAAUGGGCGCAAGCCUGAUCAAGCCAUGCCGUGUGUGUGAUGAAGGCCAUAGGGUUGUAAAGCACUUUCACCGAAGAAGAUAAUGACGGUAGUCGGAGAAGAAGCCUCGGCUAACUGCGUGCCAGCAGCCGCGGUAACACGAAGGGGGCUAGCGUUGUUCGGAAUUACUGGGCGUAAAGCGCACGUAGGCGGACAUUUAAGUCAGGGGUGAAAUCCCAGAGCUCAACUCUGGAACUGCCUUUGAUACUGGCGAUCUUGAGUAUGAGAGAGGUAUGAGGAACUCCGAGUGUAGAGGUGAAAUUCGUAGAUAUUCGGAAGAACACCAGUGGCGAAGGAGACUCUCUGGACUGCAACUGACGCUGAGGCACGAAAGCGUGGGGAGCGAACA